UACGUAGGGUGCGAGCGUUGUCCGGAAUUAUUGGGCGUAAAGAGCUCGUAGGCGGUUUGUUGCGUCGACUGUGAAAACCCGGGGCUUAACCCCGGGCCUGCAUUCGAUACGGGCAGACUCGAGUGUGGUAGGGGAGACUGGAACUCCUGGUGUAGCGGUGAAAUGCGCAGAUAUCAGGAAGAACACCGGUGGCGAAGGCGGGUCUCUGGGCCGAUACUGACGCUGAGGAGCGAAAGCGUGGGGAGCGAACAGG
RNAcentral lists this ribosomal RNA (253 nucleotides) under uncultured bacterium. RNAcentral's name for it is "partial 16S ribosomal RNA". It matches the Rfam family "Bacterial small subunit ribosomal RNA", at positions 524 to 776 of the family's 1533-position model. The record is from RNAcentral.